CGUAAUAAAAGUGCCUGAAAUUUGAGCCAUGUUUGAUUGUAUGCAAUAUUAAAAAGCCAUUAACUUUAUUUUUAGUGAUUCAAGAGACUCUAGUAUUCACCAUGACCUCUUUGAAGGAACAUGAAGUCAUCCAUGUGGAUGGGGGCCGAUGUGACCCACCUUAAGGUUAAUUCUUGCUUCUGUGCACUGGACUGAGGCAUCAGACAAAAGACGCCAGUGCAUCUGGUUUAGCUGAUAUCCCAAUGGACUUCAUUGCCAUUACAAAAAUGGAGAGCUCAGAUCCGUGGUUUCGGAGGGCAGUCUGUCGAGUGGAAAUUAGAGGUUUCCAGUGGAGAUCUAACAGUCAGGCUGAUCAGAGGAAGUGAGGUUUUUGAAGAUUUGAUACUGAAAUUGAAGCUUGAACACUGCUGAAACUGCAUCUAUGAACUCAACCGAUGUACCAGUGAACCCCAAUGUUUGGAGAGAAAAAUAACUUUUUUUUAAUCUUUUAGGACACGUUUCCCUAAGAAUGUGUAAAAGUAAUUGACUUCCAUUAAACUUGCAUAUUU
This is a long non-coding RNA of Pelobates fuscus (common spadefoot toad), 548 nucleotides long. RefSeq lists it as uncharacterized. Lineage: Eukaryota; Metazoa; Chordata; Amphibia; Anura; Pelobatidae. The record is from RefSeq and is a predicted model, not a curated record. The transcript has 4 exons.